This 488-nucleotide ribosomal RNA is filed under the name uncultured Bacilli bacterium. RNAcentral's name for it is "bacterial SSU rRNA". It matches the Rfam family "Bacterial small subunit ribosomal RNA", at positions 86 to 560 of the family's 1533-position model. The record is from RNAcentral. Lineage: Bacteria; Bacillati; Bacillota; Bacilli.
GGAAAGCGAGCGGCGGAUGGGUGAGUAACACGUGGGGAACCUGCCCCAUAGUCUGGGAUACCACUUGGAAACAGGUGCUAAUACCGGAUAAGAAAGCAGAUCGCAUGAUCAGCUUUUAAAAGGCGGCGUAAGCUGUCGCUAUGGGAUGGCCCCGCGGUGCAUUAGCUAGUUGGUAAGGUAAAGGCUUACCAAGGCGAUGAUGCAUAGCCGAGUUGAGAGACUGAUCGGCCACAUUGGGACUGAGACACGGCCCAAACUCCUACGGGAGGCAGCAGUAGGGAAUCUUCCACAAUGGACGCAAGUCUGAUGGAGCAACGCCGCGUGAGUGAAGAAGGUUUUCGGAUCGUAAAGCUCUGUUGUUGGUGAAGAAGGAUAGAGGUAGUAACUGGCCUUUAUUUGACGGUAAUCAACCAGAAAGUCACGGCUAACUACGUGCCAGCAGCCGCGGUAAUACGUAGGUGGCAAGCGUUGUCCGGAUUUAUUGGGCG